Molecule: ribosomal RNA, 262 nt
Filed under: uncultured archaeon
Lineage: Archaea
Description: partial 16S ribosomal RNA
Rfam family: Archaeal small subunit ribosomal RNA
Source: RNAcentral
UCACACAUUAGACUACCCGGGUAGUCCUGGACCGUAAACGAUGUGGACUUGGUGUUGGAAUGGCUUCGAGUUGUUCCAGUGCCGAAGGGAAGCUGUUAAGUCCACCGCCUGGGAAGUACGGUCGCAAGACUGAAACUUAAAGGAAUUGGCGGGGAGCACCACAACGCGUGGAGCCUGCGGUUUAAUUGGACUCAACGCCGGGAAGCUCACCGGAUAAGACAGCGGAAUGAUUGCCGGGCUGAAGACUCUGCAUGACUAGCUG